UAGGAUCAAUGAUGUUAUGAAUAAACUGCGUUAUCUAUCUGAUUAAUUCCCUCAAAAGGGACUGAAGAUAGCUACACCAUGCUGAGAUCCAUG
Small nucleolar RNA from Rhododendron vialii, 93 nucleotides. RefSeq annotates it as small nucleolar RNA snoR27. The record is from RefSeq and is a predicted model, not a curated record. The transcript has a single exon. Lineage: Eukaryota; Viridiplantae; Streptophyta; Magnoliopsida; Ericales; Ericaceae.